GAUGAACGCUGGCGGCGUGGAUGAGGCAUGCAAGUCGAACGCGAAAGCCGCAAGGCGAGUAAAGUGGCGGACGGGCGAGUAACACGUAAUCAAGCUGCCCAAGAGACGGGGAUAACCUCGGGAAACCGAGGCUAAUACCCGAUGGUCUGCCGGGGGCGCAUGUUCCUGGUAGGUAAAUGGACGGGAUCCUUCGGGACCGUCUGCUUUUGGAGGUGAUUGCGGCCCAUCAGCUAGUUGGUAGGGUAAUGGCCUACCAAGGCAACGACGGGUAGCCGGCCUUAGAGGGUGGUCGGCCGCACUGGGACUGAGACACUGCCCAGACUCCUACGGGAGGCUGCAGUCGAGAAUCUUCCGCAAUGGGCGAAAGCCUGACGGAGCGACGCCGCGUGGAGGAUGAAGGCCUU
Molecule: ribosomal RNA, 404 nt
Filed under: uncultured bacterium
Lineage: Bacteria
Description: bacterial SSU rRNA
Rfam family: Bacterial small subunit ribosomal RNA
Source: RNAcentral